This 627-nucleotide long non-coding RNA is filed under the name Vigna radiata. RNAcentral describes it as "long non-coding RNA (VRAD_LNC017724)". The record is from RNAcentral. Lineage: Eukaryota; Viridiplantae; Streptophyta; Magnoliopsida; Fabales; Fabaceae.
GCACAAUUGUUUUCAGUCAGAAAUUCAGUUGAAUUUGAACAUCAAUUUAACAUUUAUUUGUAAAACGAUAAAAUUUCUUAAAAUUGAUAGUGUUCAGGUGUUAAUCUUUUGUAUUGUUUAUCUUGAACUAAUAACCCAAGACAACAUAUGUCACAUUGUUUAUGUCUAAAGUAUUAGUGUCCAUGGACCCAGUUAAUUUAAAAGAAAUAAUUAUUUAUAUAAAUGUAGAAAUUGAAGAGAAAACACACUUAAGAAAAAAUACAUAAAAGUCAAAAUAUCACUCAACAUUUAACAUAACUUAAUUGUUUUUAUAUAUGCUCUCAAAUAUGUGAAGUUUUUUUAGCAUAUUGAAGUAAUUCUUGGCUACAAUUAUCAAUCAGUAUUUAACAUAAUUUAAUUGUUUUUUAUAUAUGUUCUCAAAUAUGUGAAGUUUUGUUGAGCAGAUUGAAGCAAUUCUUGGCUUUCAGAAUUGAAGGUGAUUUUAUGUAAUGGGAGGAUCUUCUUUUCUAUAUGAAGAUGAUACAAUACACUUCAUAGUGAGAAAGAACUUUUUAACAUCGUAUCCUUCUUCGAAUGGAGAGUAUGGUCGACAACCAUGGUGUUUCUUCAGUAAAAAAGGCAUUUUUU